UCCGUAGGUGAACCUGCGGAGGGAUCA
RNAcentral lists this ribosomal RNA (27 nucleotides) under Trichoderma asperellum. RNAcentral's name for it is "partial 18S ribosomal RNA". RNAcentral also lists the same sequence under 5 other names. The record is from RNAcentral. Lineage: Eukaryota; Fungi; Ascomycota; Sordariomycetes; Hypocreales; Hypocreaceae.